AAAAAAGAUUGUGGACAAUGUGAAAAUAAUAAGUAAGAAUUUGUACCUUAUGUAUGCUUUGAAACUCUUUUCCCUCAAAAUCUCACCUAUGUUGAGUUUCCUUCGAUUUUCUUUUCUCUUUUCUUCUCAAUUGAAAAUAUAAGGGGGAAGUCAUUUUAAAUUCUUCUUGCCAAACAGAGCAAUUUAAGUUCUAAGCCUCUAAUAUCAUAUUUCCAGUUGACAACUGAGAUUACUUACCAAAUCGUCUACAUGGGCAUUAAAGAAGCACAUCUAAGUGGUAUUCCAGAAAAACUGCGUCAGGCUUCAGCCAGUUUCAUUUCAUAUUCCUGAAAAGAGAGCUAAACAUGUUGACCAAAUGUUAGAAGCCAGUCAUAUGUUCCUAGAUUAAUAAUUGGUUACAGCUCUAGGAAAAAACAACAGAUUCAUGUUUAUUAAAAUUUGUCAGCACAUGCUGCCACUCAAACCGACCUAACAUUUUCAUUAAUAUCUUCAUUUUUCAUAUAUAACCAAAUAAGUAGCAUGCUGAAAUUAAUCAUAACGAGAAUAAGUAUUUCACUUCAGUGAUAAAUUAUAUAAAAGUGAACAAUCAACAUGGUUGCUAAACUAAUUCCCUAAAAUUCUAUAAGGCAUAAAUACAUGUUGUAGGCAUUAAAUUAAGCAUGCGUCAGCCACAUAUGGUAGUAGAUAACAAACAUCAAGUAGGAGUGCUUCUGAGUAGUCCAACACAAGCCAAAUGGUUAAGAAUGAAAUUAGGAAGACACAAAUGCAAUAAUGAUCUUUCUUUCAUCUACAAUUCUUGUUUAAUUGUAGUCAUGGGGAAAUCUUGUCUCUUCACAUGAUAAGAAUCAUCUGUUUGAUUUUCCCCCUUUUCUGGAUUUGGCGUGGCUUUGUGGACAUUUUGGGGAUAUGGGGGCACGGGGCCGGGGGGUCUCUCAAAUGUCACAUACUUUAGGAGAAGAGGGAAGAAUAAGGGAGUUAAUUAAGGGUGUGGGGUAGAGUGAAUUUUGGAGGGAAAGUUGUUGAUAGUUGGUUAGGGAAUCAGUUACCUAACUGAUUGGGUAAGCAGCAGUUAUGCUACUUUGUUAAAUAGGAGAGAACUUACCUGUAUUCUCUAUUCUUUUGAU
RNAcentral lists this unclassified non-coding RNA (1124 nucleotides) under Hevea brasiliensis (rubber tree). Lineage: Eukaryota; Viridiplantae; Streptophyta; Magnoliopsida; Malpighiales; Euphorbiaceae. The record is from RNAcentral.